AAAAAAGUUUACGAGUGAAGAGUACUGGCGGUUAUUAAAUUCGAGUUUAAUUGUGCAGAGGUAAUUGACAUUGAGCCGAGAAAGACAAGGUAGAAAAUAGUUAAGUUGCGAGCAAGAUUUGAAGAAUCGUAACCUAGACACGAGCAACAAAGGUUGCGUUUAUCGCACUAGGAGAGUUGGGAGUAAAACGCGCUCAGCAAUAGUUUGUUAGCAUCGUAUUUCUAAUCGAUAAUAAUCGAUAGCAUCCGUAACAAUUCGCGACACAAGGAAACUAUUUCUUGUAAGUGUGUAUAUUGUAUAUGUUUAUGUUUUUGGUAAAAC
Long non-coding RNA from Armigeres subalbatus, 321 nucleotides. RefSeq lists it as uncharacterized. The transcript is spliced from 3 exons. The record is from RefSeq and is a predicted model, not a curated record. NCBI's taxonomy places the organism in Eukaryota, Metazoa, Arthropoda, Insecta, Diptera, Culicidae.